Molecule: long non-coding RNA, 1367 nt
Organism: Ovis aries (sheep)
Lineage: Eukaryota; Metazoa; Chordata; Mammalia; Artiodactyla; Bovidae
Source: Ensembl
GGGGUGGGGGUUUCAGCCUCUUCCCUGGAGAGAGCAUCCAGGAUUGAGGCGUGUGUGUCGCGAGCAGGUGUCAGGUGGCCCGAGUGCUGCGUGUAAGAAACACCUCUUGCAGUCAUGGGCACACCAGGCUGGGCCGCCAGGUGAGGGACUCGGUGGCCCUUGCUCCUGCCUCGGCAGCUGUUAGAGCAGCUGGGAGUGCAGAGCAAGAGUGAAUGUGGGCCAGGAAGGAACCAGUGGGCCAGGGCGGUUCCGAUUGCAGAGAACAUACCAAAGGGCUCAAGCCUUGCCCCUCCCCUCCCCCGCCUCCAUCAGAUGAGGUCAGGGUGGCCUUGGGCCUCGUAGGCAGGCGAGGGGCACUCUGAUUCAGCUGGGACAACAGCCAGAGGCAGGACUUAGGGCUUCAGACGGGCGACUUGCAGGCUCAAGCUGCUCCACCCCAAGUUGUCCCACAGCCCCAGGCACGGGCAGUGGCCCCUUCAGCCCGGUCUGUCCAGGCUGCCUAGUGGCCAGGGGGGCUGUCAGGGCAGUUGUGUGCCGCUGGAAGAAAAACCCAAAUCAGGUAAAGAAAGCAAAAAAUAACUUGGCUGCAAGCCAUGCUUUUUUAUCUGUAGCCAGCUUCUGUCAGGCGAUUGUCCACUCAAGGUCAGCGGUGGGCUCUUCGGAGGGAGUGGGGAUCGAGUCUGUCCGAAUUACCUGGACGGCAGGCGAGGACCCGAUCAGCGUGGACCCCGCUUCUCAGCGCUGCAGAGAAUCUUUUGCACUAAGUCAUGCUGUUUCCUGAAAGCUUUGUUUUGUGUCAGUUGACUCCUGUUACUCUGAGGCCCCCCCUCCCCAGGUGGGCGAGUGCCCGUGGGGCUGGGGGGGUCACAGUGGUGCGGACACGCUGCUUGGUGUCCUCAGUGCCUGUGAAAUUCUUUAUGAAAUGAGCCACCUGCAUUAAACUUAUUUUUUUAACAUGUUGAUGGCGUGACUGUUUAAGGCUCAAAAGGUUUAUACCUUUUUGUAGAGGAUAUAACAAGCCAGAAACACCACAGAUGCCGUUUUUUUUCGUAAGUACAGUGGGAAGCUUUUAAAAGCGGCCAUUACCAAGCUGGAGAAGGAGUCACUGCUGGGCCGUGGUGGGCCCUCUGUGCCCGGAGGCCAGGGGUUCCACUGCUGGCACUUGUCCUUGGGGUUUGGCAGGGGUGGCCACGAGACUUGGUCAGUACUGGGCGAGGAGAGCCGGUGAGGCUGAAUUCACGAACCAAGUGCAUACAGUCCUUAUAAGACAGGAUGUGCCCUCUCAGGCCGGAAUGGCCGUGUGCAUGCAGGGUGCACCCAGUUUCAGAGAAGACACCUGCAGGAGAAAUGCUGGCGGAAAACCCAAG